CAGAGACAGACGUGCCGGCUGCAGCUCCUUCGGCUUCCGGCCUUCUUCUUCUCGGGUCGUGGCGGUGACGGGGAGAUUGGGGGUUUCCACCUCGCGUGGCGGCGGCAGGAGAUCGGGGGAUUGAUGUGUUAGAAAGCAAGGAACAGCAGCCUGCUUCGGCAUUCAUGGACCUGACUUCUGACAAGAUGGAGGCGAUGGAGGGGACUGUCCUUGCAGGGAAAAUGGGAAACUGUAUUUGCAAGAAUACCUGAGUUGAACAUCUAUACAACUGUCGAUGGUUUGAACUAUAACAAAGCAAUGCCACAGAAAGACCUUUCAUCAGAAUUAGAAUGAGCUUGAAACCACUUUAUUAAAUAUUACCACGUUUUCAUUUGCAAAUAUGACAACUAAUAGAUGUUAAAAUGGCAUGAAGGCUCAA
Molecule: long non-coding RNA, 418 nt
Organism: Hemicordylus capensis (graceful crag lizard)
Lineage: Eukaryota; Metazoa; Chordata; Lepidosauria; Squamata; Cordylidae
Exons: 3
Source: RefSeq, a predicted model, not a curated record